GACGAAUCACGGAGGUCGUGGUCUCGCGCAUCGUCCUGGAUGUCCGCCAAUCAUCCCACUAGCUCCACUACAUGACCUUGGCUAUAGUCGUGACGAUGUCCACAGCUGUGGGGCCAAGAACGGCAAGCUGUCUCGAACAUUACAACCACUAUGUCUGUUUUAAGAGGCUCCUUCAGAGUGCCAUUCUAAGCGGCGUUCUCCCUUUCUUCCUUCCUUUCCCUGCGUCGGCAUUGGAACCGGCACAGCGAACGACGAGCGAAGCGAAGGAUGAAAGUACAAGAGACCGUGAAGAGGAAAGCAGCGGGGGAGCGUACGCUGAGAGUGAAGAGAGCGCGAGGAGAAAAGCUAAGAACUUGCGACACGGCGAACGCGAAGAGGGGACGAGGAGGAAAGUGAAGGAGUAGGGUACCACGAGAGCAGUCGAAUGAGCCAUUCUCGGUCUGCGGCUUCUACCUAUUCGAGUCUCCAAUGAACUACAGAUGACGCACCGAACUUCCAAAAUGACGGACGAAAACAAGCCUACCGAGCAAAGCGAGCAUAGGGACUGCAGUGUCGGCGGCAUUAUGUUCAUCAUCUGGAUUCUGUUUCAGUUUUAAUAGACACAUGAAAUGCUUCAUGAAAGCCAAACAUCUGCGAACACCAUUUGUGUACGGGCCAACAGAAGAAACAAAAGUUACUUUCGGAACUUUCGGAGACAAAAGUAACUAUUAUAAAAAUUGUAAUGCACAA
Ornithodoros turicata is the source of this 729-nucleotide long non-coding RNA. RefSeq lists it as uncharacterized. The transcript has 3 exons. Lineage: Eukaryota; Metazoa; Arthropoda; Arachnida; Ixodida; Argasidae. The record is from RefSeq and is a predicted model, not a curated record.